CAAACACAUACACACCUACCACCACAAACACAUACAAAUAAAAACCCACAGAUAUUACGCACACACCGGCCCAUACAAACACAUAUAUUACACACACAUACACAAACUUAUACUUAAACUUCCAUUCACCUACACACACAUAUCACCCACAUAAACACACGCAAACACAAAUACACACAUCACAUACACAAACACAUAGACACACACACACUCUCUUUUUCUCGUUCUCUAUCUCUCUCAAACAUUAAAACAUACAAUCACACACAUACACACACACACAC
This 281-nucleotide long non-coding RNA is filed under the name Vigna radiata. RNAcentral describes it as "long non-coding RNA (VRAD_LNC017782)". Lineage: Eukaryota; Viridiplantae; Streptophyta; Magnoliopsida; Fabales; Fabaceae. The record is from RNAcentral.